Molecule: long non-coding RNA, 1639 nt
Organism: Trifolium pratense (red clover)
Lineage: Eukaryota; Viridiplantae; Streptophyta; Magnoliopsida; Fabales; Fabaceae
Exons: 5
Source: RefSeq, a predicted model, not a curated record
UUGAAUCUUACGCUAUGAAUAAAAAUUCAUUCUUUCUUUUUCUUCUUCAAAUCAAGAAACAAGAAUCUAUUUUUCUCCCAUUUUCAUCUCACCCAAAAUUACACUUCCGAUUCUUCCAAAAUUUCUCGCAUUCUCACCGAUUCUUCCAAAAUCACACUUCGAACUCACAAUCUCCGCCGAUUCUUCAAUGAUCAGUUGUGUGCAUCUUCCGCAUCCCGCGAUUCUUCAAUCAGAAAUUUUCAAUUCAAUUUCUGAAUCAAUUGAUUGCGGGCUGAGGUAGAAGGCUAAAAAGAGACCUAUGAUGUAAAAAUAGGUGAAAAGUGGGCUAUUAAUUUAUGUCAGUGAUAUGAAAAUGUGGCUGGAAGUGGACUAUUAAUUAAUGUUUGUGAUAUGUGGAUAGCAAAAAAGAUAGAUACUCCAUGAUGCAAUAAUAGUUCUGUUGCUGGUGGUAUGAAGAGCAGGAUCGUCGGUUCUUCCAGUUUGGAAAUAAUCUUAGACCUCCAGUUCUUCUUUUUCGAGGAUCAGUAGGAGCUUACGCAUAUCUCAGAUUGUUACGGGCAAAAAAAGUCUCAAACUUGACUAUAAAGCAAGGGCUGAGGUAGAAGUCGAAAAAGAGAGCUAUGAUGUAAAAGUAGGUGAAAAGUGGACUAUUAAUUUAUGUUUGUGAUAUGAAAAUGUUGCUGGAAGUGGAGUAUUAAUUUAUGUUUCUGAUUAUGUUGCAUGGAUGAGGUAGAAAGCAAAACAGAUAGAUACUCCAUGAUGCAAUAAUAGGUGAGAAGGGGCUAAUUUGUAGUGUGAGAUUUAUCAACAUUGUGUGGUUUCUUAUGAUUUGAUGACUUAAUGAAUUGGAUUUGUUUAUAACAUUAUAUAAGCUACUUAUUGACACAAUUCUGUAGCAACUGACACAUUUGUUUAUAUAACCCUGACCAUUACUAGUUGGUUCAUGCAUUAUGGGUAGUGGCACCAUUGGUGUUCAAUCCCUCUGUCUUUGAUUGGUUAAAAUUGUUUAUAAUUUUUUAUGACAUCAUGAACUGCAUAUGGUAUAGUGAAAUUGUAUUUGCUAAAGCUGAACAAAUCUAGUGGUAUGAAGAGCGGGAUCGUCGGUUCUUUUUCCGGUAUGGAUAUAAUCUUAACCUGUAGUUCUUCUUUUUCGAGGAUCAGUAGGAGCUUACACAUAUCUCAGAUUGUUACGUGGAAAAAGUCUCAAAGUUGGCUAUGAAGCAAGUGAGACACUAGAGGACUAUUGUAGUAAAAAGAUAAACUUAAUGAACUUUAAUUGAGGAAACAUGUAUCGUCCCAAAAAUUUUCAAUCAAUUCCAUUGUUGGCCCGGGAACAGCUCCGCCAUGUAUGCAGUGGCGCUAAUCCUGGUGUUUGUAAUGGCAGUGCUUGUGGAGUGGCUUUCAUUCACUAACAUUGUGAAACUCAAACCCGGGACUUCAAGCGACGUCGUUGAUUUGCUUUUAGCAUCUAUAAAUAACAUGUUCUUGAUCAUUGGUUACUAAUACUAUGUUAUAUACUCAUAACAAUGACUUAAUGAAUAAUUUGUCCCAUUUACUACGUGAAAGCAAUUGUCCCUAUAUUUCGUAAUCCUGUUGCUGCCUUAAUUGCUACUCAAAGCAAUUGUCCCUAUCGGUGUCU